This 1131-nucleotide long non-coding RNA is filed under the name Felis catus (domestic cat). RNAcentral describes it as "lncRNA (ENSFCAG00000050800.1)". Lineage: Eukaryota; Metazoa; Chordata; Mammalia; Carnivora; Felidae. The record is from RNAcentral.
AGGUUUUUCAGCCCAAGUGAUAAUUACGUGAGCAACCUCGGUAAACCUGUUAAUCCUUCCCUAAAUCCUCCAAUCGGGCCGCCUUUAUCCCUCUCGGUGUUCUCAGUUCCCUAUUUUUUCUCUCGACAGGAAGUAACUCUCUUUUUCUUUUCUCAUGCUUGUCUUCAAUCCAGAAGUUCUUUGGGCUCACUGUUUGGUGGGGGUACUCUGAGUCAGUAUCCUAGUACCCUCAGCAGCUUAAUAUGGCUCAACAGCCCCCCUCCCCCGCCGCCUCUCACUAAGAAGAGCUCACGGCGAUCCUGCAGCUCCCCUCCCCGCAUUGCCCCCCUCCGCGGGCCCGUCCCUGCCCUGCGCCCGGCCAACCAAUCCCUGGCUCCACUCCAUUCGCGUCACAAUGGCGCCCUCGUGGCCCCGCCCCCGGACGCCAGCCGCGGAGGCCCCGCCCCGCAACGCUCAUUGCGUCUUUCCGGCUCCUUGUUGGAAGUAGCACUGCGCCGUGUCUUCCUGGAGAAGAAGGUGCUCGGAGGGACGACCGUGGUGCCGGAUGUGAAGAAGAGCGGGAGCGUGGAGACUCGGAGCCCGAGUCUUCCUCGUUGCUUUUCUUCCCUCCUUCCUCCCACUUCCUGCCUGGGCCGACCGCGCGGGCCGCGGGCCGCACCUGCAGGACGCGUUUCCAUUGGUGACAUCUUGGCGGGCCCAUCGGUGGCACUUCCUCCUUUACACCCCGUGACCCACGUCCGGCCCGCCGCCCUCAGUCACGCGGCCUCUGCCUCUGGGACGCAGCCCCGCGCGCCGGCCUUCCGGACUCCGGACCCGUCGUGGAACUCUUCUCCCUCCGCGUCCCUUCUGCCCCAGGAAGUCCCCCCGACUCGACUCAGGAGCUCCGCCCCCCACGGGUCCAGGGAAACUCUUUCCUGGCCGCCCCAGAAAGCGCCCCCCUCCGAGGCCCCGACUCGGGAGCUCCGCCCCCUCCCCCGCGGCUCCGGGAAGCUGGGACGGAGAACGCUGGCCCCACCUCAUUCCCUCCUCGGCGGCCUAGAAGUUCCCACUCCCGCCUCCGUUAAUAACAAAAGGAGACGCACCUGGACUUUCCCGGAGCCUUCUGCGUUUUUAAGCGUCGGGUGGAAUUAG